This 524-nucleotide ribosomal RNA is filed under the name uncultured Acidobacteriota bacterium. RNAcentral describes it as "bacterial SSU rRNA". It matches the Rfam family "Bacterial small subunit ribosomal RNA", at positions 355 to 871 of the family's 1533-position model. Lineage: Bacteria; Pseudomonadati; Acidobacteriota. The record is from RNAcentral.
UCGGGAAUUUUGGGCAAUGGGCGAAAGCCUGACCCAGCAACGCCGCGUGAAGGAUGAAAUCCUUCGGGAUGUAAACUUCGCAAGAACAGGAAGAAUAAGUCGGUGUUAACACCACCGGCGAUGACGGUACUGUUUGUAAGCUCCGGCUAACUCCGUGCCAGCAGCCGCGGUAAUACGGGGGGAGCAAGCGUUGUUCGGAUUUACUGGGCGUAAAGGGCGCGUAGGCGGCCACCGCAAGUCGACUGUGAAAUCUCCGGGCUUAACCCGGAACGGUCAGCCGAUACUGCGGGGCUAGAGUGCAGAAGGGGCAACUGGAAUUCUCGGUGUAGCGGUGAAAUGCGUAGAUAUCGAGAGGAACACCUGCGGCGAAGGCGGGUUGCUGGGCUGACACUGACGCUGAGGCGCGAAAGCUAGGGGAGCGAACGGGAUUAGAUACCCCGGUAGUCCUAGCCUUAAACGAUGAAUGCUUGGUGUCUGGGGUUUUAUAGUCCCCGGGUGCCGUCGCUAACGCUUUAAGCAUUCCG